Molecule: ribosomal RNA, 466 nt
Filed under: uncultured bacterium
Lineage: Bacteria
Description: partial 16S ribosomal RNA
Rfam family: Bacterial small subunit ribosomal RNA
Source: RNAcentral
CUACGGGCGGCUGCAGUGAGGAAUUUUGCGCAAUGGGGGGAACCCUGACGCAGCAACGCCGCGUGAGUGAUGAAGGCUUUCGGGUCGUAAAGCUCUGUCAAGUGGGAAGAACCUAUGCAGUGUUAAUAUCACUGUAUACUGACGGUACCACUGAAGGAAGCACCGGCUAACUCCGUGCCAGCAGCCGCGGUAAUACGGGUGGGUGCAAGCGUUAUUCGGAAUCAUUGGGCGUAAAGGGCACGUAGGCGGCUUGGUAAGUCAGAUGUGAAAGCCCGGGGCUUAACCCCGGAAGUGCAUUUGAGACUGUCAGGCUUGAGUAGGGGAGAGGGGAGUGGAAUUCCUGGUGUAGAGGUGAAAUUCGUAGAUAUCAGGAGGAACACCGGUGGCGAAGGCGACUUCCUGGACCAAUACUGACGCUGAGGUGCGAAGGCGUGGGUAGCAAACAGGAUUAGAUACCCGGGUAGUC